This 28-nucleotide small RNA is filed under the name Bombyx mori (domestic silkworm). Its description in RNAcentral is "ovarian small RNA-25291". Lineage: Eukaryota; Metazoa; Arthropoda; Insecta; Lepidoptera; Bombycidae. The record is from RNAcentral.
UCACGGAUUCAGUUGAGGAAUGAUCGGU